RNAcentral lists this ribosomal RNA (253 nucleotides) under uncultured bacterium. Its description in RNAcentral is "partial 16S ribosomal RNA". It matches the Rfam family "Bacterial small subunit ribosomal RNA", at positions 524 to 776 of the family's 1533-position model. The record is from RNAcentral.
GACAGAGGGUGCAAACGUUGUUCGGAAUUACUGGGCGUAAAGCGUGCGCAGGCGGCCUUGCAAGUCGGGCGUGAAAUCCCACGGCUCAACCGUGGAAGUGCACUCGAAACUGCUUGGCUAGAGUCUUGGAGAGGAAGGCGGAAUGCUUGGUGUAGAGGUGAAAUUCGUAGAUAUCUGGAGGAAUACCGGUGGCGAAGGCGGCAUCCUGGACCGACAUUGACGCUGAGGAGCGAAAGCUAGGGGAGCAAACGGG